This 568-nucleotide transfer RNA is filed under the name Salinivibrio sp. FAM 10. RNAcentral describes it as "partial 16S-23S ribosomal RNA intergenic spacer". The stretch from base 145 to 217 matches the Rfam family "tRNA". Lineage: Bacteria; Pseudomonadati; Pseudomonadota; Gammaproteobacteria; Vibrionales; Vibrionaceae. The record is from RNAcentral.
GCGAGUGUUCACACAGAUUGUAUAGGUUGAAGUUAUAAGAGGAUAUGUUCCCAAACAUAUCAGCGUGUCCCAUUCGUCUAGAGGCCUAGGACACCGCCCUUUCACGGCGGUAACAGGGGUUCGACUCCCCUAUGGGACGCCAUUGGGUUGUUAGCUCAGUUGGUAGAGCAGUUGACUUUUAAUCAAUUGGUCACAGGUUCGAAUCCUGUACAACCCACCACAUUAUUGUGGGCGAUUAGCUCAGUUGGGAGAGCACCUCCCUUACAAGGAGGGGGUCACUGGUUCGAGCCCGGUAUCGCCCACCACGCUUUAAAGGUUUUUGUUUGAGAAUCUUUAGAACGUGGUUUAUUUAGCAAUAAACGACAUGCUCUUUAACAAUCUGGAAAGCUGACAAGUCAUUCUUUAAGAAUGACAGUAAAGUUCUCAAUCAGUGACAUAUCAUGUCACUCACACAAUCAAGUGUGCUUGGACUUUGUCUUAUUAAAUCAAUAACGACAAAGUUUCUAUUUGAGUCCGGCAAAAACAAAACCUUAGUUGUUUUCAUGCAAGACCUUUUGGGGUUGUAUGG